RNAcentral lists this ribosomal RNA (456 nucleotides) under uncultured bacterium. Its description in RNAcentral is "bacterial SSU rRNA". It matches the Rfam family "Bacterial small subunit ribosomal RNA", at positions 29 to 524 of the family's 1533-position model. The record is from RNAcentral.
AGCGAACGCUGGCGGCAGGCUUAACACAUGCAAGUCGAACGGGCGUAGCAAUACGUCAGUGGCAGACGGGUGAGUAACGCGUGGGAACGUACCUUUUGGUUCGGAACAACCCAGGGAAACUUGGGCUAAUACCGGAUAAGCCCUUACGGGGAAAGAUUUAUCGCCGAAAGAUCGGCCCGCGUCUGAUUAGCUAGUUGGUGUGGUAACGGCGCACCAAGGCGACGAUCAGUAGCUGGUCUGAGAGGAUGAUCAGCCACAUUGGGACUGAGACACGGCCCAAACUCCUACGGGAGGCAGCAGUGGGGAAUAUUGGACAAUGGGCGCAAGCCUGAUCCAGCCAUGCCGCGUGAGUGAUGAAGGCCCUAGGGUUGUAAAGCUCUUUUGUGCGGGAAGAUAAUGACGGUACCGCAAGAAUAACGCCCCGGCUAACUUCGUGCCAGCAGCAGCCGCUGUAAC